RNAcentral lists this ribosomal RNA (468 nucleotides) under uncultured bacterium. Its description in RNAcentral is "partial 16S ribosomal RNA". It matches the Rfam family "Bacterial small subunit ribosomal RNA", at positions 28 to 507 of the family's 1533-position model. The record is from RNAcentral.
GACGAACGCUGGCGGCGUGCUUAACACAUGCAAGUCGAACGGAAAGGCCCUGCUUUUGUGGGGUGCUCGAGUGGCGAACGGGUGAGUAACACGUGAGUAACCUGCCCUUGACUUUGGGAUAACUUCAGGAAACUGGGGCUAAUACCGGAUAGGAGCUCCUGCUGCAUGGUGGGGGUUGGAAAGUUUCGGCGGUUGGGGAUGGACUCGCGGCUUAUCAGCUUGUUGGUGGGGUAGUGGCUUACCAAGGCUUUGACGGGUAGCCGGCCUGAGAGGGUGACCGGCCACAUUGGGACUGAGAAACGGCCCAGACUCAUACGGGAGGCAGCAGUGGGGAAUAUUGCACAAUGGGCGGAAGCCUGAUGCAGCAACGCCGCGUGCGGGAUGACGGCCUUCGGGUUGUAAACCGCUUUCGCCUGUGACGAAGCGUGAGUGACGGUAAUGGGUAAAGAAGCACCGGCUAACUACGUG